GUAGGGAAUAUUGCGCAAUGGACGAAAGUCUGACGCAGCGACGCCGCGUGAGUGAUGAAGGUCUUAGGAUUGUAAAAUUCUUUCACCGGGGACGAUAAUGACGGUACCCGGAGAAGAAGCUCCGGCUAACUUCGUGCCAGCAGCCGCGGUAAUACGAAGGGGGCUAGCGUUGCUCGGAAUUACUGGGCGUAAAGGGCGCGUAGGCGGACAGCUUAGUCAGAGGUGAAAGCCCAGGGCUCAACCUUGGAAUUGCCUUUGAUACUGGCUGUCUUGAGUUUGGGAGAGGUGAGUGGAACUCCGAGUGUAGAGGUGAAAUUCGUAGAUAUUCGGAAGAACACCAGUGGCGAAGGCGACUCACUGGCCCAAUACUGACGCUGAGGCGCGAAAGCGUGGGGAGCAAACAGGAUUAGAUACCCGGGUAGUCC
Molecule: ribosomal RNA, 425 nt
Filed under: uncultured bacterium
Lineage: Bacteria
Description: partial 16S ribosomal RNA
Rfam family: Bacterial small subunit ribosomal RNA
Source: RNAcentral